RNAcentral lists this ribosomal RNA (1181 nucleotides) under Salmonella enterica subsp. enterica serovar Litchfield. RNAcentral describes it as "partial 23S ribosomal RNA". It matches the Rfam family "Bacterial large subunit ribosomal RNA", at positions 1 to 1221 of the family's 2925-position model. Lineage: Bacteria; Pseudomonadati; Pseudomonadota; Gammaproteobacteria; Enterobacterales; Enterobacteriaceae. The record is from RNAcentral.
GUUAAGCGACUAAGCGUACACGGUGGAUGCCCUGGCAGUCAGAGGCGAUGAAGGGCGUGCUAAUCUGCGAUAAGCGCCGGUAAGGUGAUAUGAACCGUUAUAACCGGCGAUACCCGAAUGGGGAAACCCAGUGUGAUUCGUCACACUAUCAUUAACUGAAUCCAUAGGUUAAUGAGGCGAACCGGGGGAACUGAAACAUCUAAGUACCCCGAGGAAAAGAAAUCAACCGAGAUUCCCCCAGUAGCGGCGAGCGAACGGGGAGGAGCCCAGAGCCUGAAUCAGCAUGUGUGUUAGUGGAAGCGUCUGGAAAGGCGCGCGAUACAGGGUGACAGCCCCGUACACAAAAGCGCAUGUGCUGUGAGCUCGAUGAGUAGGGCGGGACACGUGGUAUCCUGUCUGAAUAUGGGGGGACCAUCCUCCAAGGCUAAAUACUCCUGACUGACCGAUAGUGAACCAGUACCGUGAGGGAAAGGCGAAAAGAACCCCGGCGAGGGGAGUGAAAAAGAACCUGAAACCGUGUACGUACAAGCAGUGGGAGCACAGGUUUACCUGUGUGACUGCGUACCUUUUGUAUAAUGGGUCAGCGACUUAUAUUCUGUAGCAAGGUUAACCGAAUAGGGGAGCCGGAGGGAAACCGAGUCUUAAUUGGGCGUUAAGUUGCAGGGUAUAGACCCGAAACCCGGUGAUCUAGCCAUGGGCAGGUUGAAGGUUGGGUAACACUAACUGGAGGACCGAACCGACUAAUGUUGAAAAAUUAGCGGAUGACCUGUGGCUGGGGGUGAAAGGCCAAUCAAACCGGGAGAUAGCUGGUUCUCCCCGAAAGCUAUUUAGGUAGCGCCUCGUGAAUUCAUCUCCGGGGGUAGAGCACUGUUUCGGCUAGGGGGCCAUCCCGGCUUACCAACCCGAUGCAAACUGCGAAUACCGGAGAAUGUUAUCACGGGAGACACACGGCGGGUGCUAACGUCCGUCGUGAAGAGGGAAACAACCCAGACCGCCAGCUAAGGUCCCAAAGUCAUGGUUAAGUGGGAAACGAUGUGGGAAGGCCCAGACAGCCAGGAUGUUGGCUUAGAAGCAGCCAUCAUUUAAAGAAAGCGUAAUAGCUCACUGGUCGAGUCGGCCUGCGCGGAAGAUGUAACGGGGCUAAACCAUGCACCGAAGCUGCGGCAGCGACACUCAGGUGU